RNAcentral lists this long non-coding RNA (714 nucleotides) under Canis lupus familiaris (dog). Its description in RNAcentral is "lncRNA (ENSCAFG00000052840.1, ENSCAFG00845028003.1)". Lineage: Eukaryota; Metazoa; Chordata; Mammalia; Carnivora; Canidae. The record is from RNAcentral.
AUAAUGGGUAAAAUUUUCUGACACGUAUGUUUACUUUCCUUGUGGAAAGUAUGUUUACUUUUCCUUAUGGCUAUAAGAGGUUGAUUCUAAUAUUAGCCCCAUUUUACAGAUGAGAAGACCAAGAACCCAAAAGAUGAGCUCAUAGACCCCGAACCAAGUGCACCUGCACCCACCUGUUCCGGUGGCCUGGAGAGAGACCAUCCUCAUUGCUUCUCAAGGCCCUAACCCAGGAAGCCCAGGAUGGCAGCCGAGAUUUCCUACCCCAGGGAAGAGAUGCCUCUGGUGAAGGUGGGCAACCAAGACAACAAUUCUUGGCUUUGAGUUUUGAAUUAUGGCCACGGUAGAGAUUUAAAAAAAAAAAAUGUUUUUAAGAGAAAAGGCUUUGGGGUUGCCAAAAUCUAGGCUUUUGAGGUUCAAAAUCCUAAUCUUUGAACAAUUUAGAGAAUGAAGAUUAGGUGUGUAUAUUUGGCAACAGAAACAUACCUGGUUACUCUUCCAACACCUUGAAAAGUAUUUGUUGCUUAAAGAUUCCACAGCGGGAGCCAGUGGCAGAGGAGACAGAGGAGGUCAGCCAAAGGGAGGAGAGAAGGAGAAGCAAGAGAGUUAGGUAGAUAUAGCAACGUGACCCCAAGAAAAGGAUCCUAGACCAGACCCUAGGGGAAAGGGGCACAACAGAAAUUCCAGAUCCAUUUGGGGAUUUGGCUCCAAAGAGGA